Molecule: long non-coding RNA, 561 nt
Organism: Coregonus clupeaformis (lake whitefish)
Lineage: Eukaryota; Metazoa; Chordata; Actinopteri; Salmoniformes; Salmonidae
Exons: 3
Source: RefSeq, a predicted model, not a curated record
CAUUAAUGAGCCAGAAAACAGGGAGCGACUAGAGCAGGAGAUGGCUCUCGUAGGAGUAGGUCUACAUGCAAGCUUGAGCGUUAGCUGCAGGCACCGUCUUCUCAUCUAACAUCUACUCAAUGAGACUUUCUAAAGUGCUUGUCAAUGAAGAUUAUGUAAUUAUCCUAUUUGUUUGACUUCAGAUUGACCGCAUCAACUUCGCAGAUGUUUUUUAUGAAUUCGUUCUACUAAGCCUUCUAGAAGGAAAGACAUCUCUUCCUAUAUCUAAGCCUGGUAGCUUCCUUUAUCUGCUCCUGCAAGUCAUAAUGAGGAUUGACCCUCCUGGAGGAGCCUGGACAGAGGCUGCUGAGAACUUCUACCUCCUCGUUAAGGGCCAGAUGAAGGCAUGGCUACAAUCCAUCUUCAACCUCAAUGAGUCAAUCUAUGAAAGCCCAGAGAGGCUCUCGGGGGAGGUGAUGGGGAAUCUAGAAAUACAGGUUGAGUUCCUGCUGUCCAGCCUGGAUUAAGGUUCCCAAACUGAGCUGAGGGCCCCAUCACAAAAUAAAGUGUUUUGCAUUUAAA